GUCAAUGCAGUUGCUUGUACAACACGUGAAUUGUGCGCGCGUGUAUUAGUUGCCGAUUGAUAUUUAUUACUAACAUUCUUACGUUCGGUAACGUACGUGAUUGCUAUUUGUCAUGUUCAAUGCAAAUCGAAUUAUUGCGUUUUUAUUGUUGGUCUUCGACGCGUUCGCAAGUCGUUCGGUUCUCGGCGGUGUGCGCGUACUCGCCGAUGAGUUUUUGGCAGAAAACAACGCGCGCGCGCGAACUUUUUUGAUUCAAUAAUAUAGAUUUCCGUGAUUUACCGCCUUCUAUGCGAAUAAACUGUUGAUUAACAAUCAACGUCCUGUAUACUUCGAUUUUCAGUCGGUGGUCCGUUCGAAGGUAUGCCGAUCGCGUUCAAGUACACGGAAUUGCCUUCCAAUCAAGCCGAACCCGACCGGUUGAAAACUCGGCGAGAUACGUACCUUUGGGUUUCAAAACGAACAGAUAUACACGUGACGUUAUUGAGGCACAAGCACCGCCGACCAGAUAUUAUUUCUUGCUCGGCACUUACCGCGACGUUUCACAAAGGAAAUGUGAUUGUAAGCCCGCGCGUGUAUUAUACGCACAACACGUCCUUCGUGCAAACGGUAUUUAGAUGUGGAGACCACGAGAACCACUUAACCUUAUUGGCGUACGAUAAUAUUGUAUUAAUUGUCGUACGAUAUCUUCAACCCGUCAACGAGUGCCACUUCGUUCGAGAAGAAUGUUAGUGUGUACGAGCGGCAUCUGUCAAAUCCGUUCCGAAUGUCACCAGGUACUCGAGCACACGGGGGACAAAUAAUACUGCUCAGACAGGACUAUACGUUUACGGCGAGCGGCGAGCAAACUCGAACUUGUUGCGUUUUUCCGUUCAAGUGUACAUCUAUCGAUGUACAAGCAUAACAUUUAUUAACAAAUAUCACUCACGCAAUAAACGUAUUUCACUUGUCGCGGUUUAGCAGCCGUACAAUCGUUUUUAUCGUGUUCUUUACGUACGGAUCGAAUUCUUAGUUGGAUUACACUAACUUAUAUCGUUUUCAGAUUCAAAUUAUUGCUCAACUGCAUUGCACUGCAGUUUUUUUUUUCAACCUAACACAAUUAUUUAUAUUGAUUAUUUUCAGUCCCCGUAUUUGCAUACGACAAAUAAAUUAUAAACUUCGUUGUUGGUUGUUGUGUAUCAAAGCGUGGAGUUUUCCCAAGGCUAUGUACCACGCUCAGUAAUAUCUGAGAAUAAUGUUUUUGGCCAUUCCAUUGCAUUUUGUAAUUAAGCAUAUCACAUGACCUAAUUCAUUAAACGCCAUUUGACGAAUGCAGUUACUGUAAUGUACUCGUACGAUUCAACGGUAUCUAUACUACUUAUUAUCAUCCCGGCUGUAAGACGAGAUCACGGGCAUGGGCGUAUUUCCUGUUCUUUAUUUCCCAAGGUAAACAUUCUGAGCAAAAUAUGAUACUUAUUGUGUCAAAUUACUUUAAGUUAGAAAAAAAAAUCAAUGACACC
This 1496-nucleotide long non-coding RNA is filed under the name Sipha flava (yellow sugarcane aphid). RNAcentral describes it as "uncharacterized LOC112691029, transcript variant X2". The record is from RNAcentral. Lineage: Eukaryota; Metazoa; Arthropoda; Insecta; Hemiptera; Aphididae.